GCCCCCGUAGCUCAGUGGACCAGAGCGGCUGACUUCGAAUCAGUAGGUCGUAGGUUCGAAUCCUACCGGGGGUA
Molecule: transfer RNA, 74 nt
Filed under: Chloroflexota bacterium
Lineage: Bacteria; Bacillati; Chloroflexota
Also listed under: 1 other name
Description: Chloroflexi bacterium (activated sludge metagenome) tRNA-Arg
Rfam family: tRNA
About the family: Transfer RNA (tRNA) molecules are approximately 80 nucleotides in length. Their secondary structure includes four short double-helical elements and three loops (D, anti-codon, and T loops). Further hydrogen bonds mediate the characteristic L-shaped molecular structure. tRNAs have two regions of fundamental functional importance: the anti-codon, which is responsible for specific mRNA codon recognition, and the 3' end, to which the tRNAs corresponding amino acid is attached (by aminoacyl-tRNA synthetases). tRNAs cope with the degeneracy of the genetic code in two manners: having more than one tRNA (with a specific anti-codon) for a particular amino acid; and 'wobble' base-pairing, i.e. permitting non-standard base-pairing at the 3rd anti-codon position.
Source: RNAcentral